GACGAACGCUGGCGGCGUGCUUAACACAUGCAAGUCGAACGGAAAGGCCCUGCUUUUGUGGGGUGCUCGAGUGGCGAACGGGUGAGUAACACGUGAGUAACCUGCCCUUGACUUUGGGAUAACUUCAGGAAACUGGGGCUAAUACCGGAUAGGAGCUCCUGCUGCAUGGUGGGGGUUGGAAAGUUUCGGCGGUUGGAGAUGGACUCGCGGCUUAUCAGCUUGUUGGUGGGGUAGUGGCUUACCAAGGCUUUGACGGGUAGCCGGCCUGAGAGGGUGACCGGCCACAUUGGGACUGCGAUACGGCCCAGACUCCUACGGGAGGCAGCAGUGGGGAAUAUUGCACAAUGGGCGGAAGCCUGAUGCAGCAACGCCGCGUGCGGGAUGACGGCCUUCGGGUUGUAAACCGCUUUCGCCUGUGACGAAGCGUGAGUGACGGUAAUGGGUAAAGAAGCACCGGCUAACUACGUG
Molecule: ribosomal RNA, 468 nt
Filed under: uncultured bacterium
Lineage: Bacteria
Description: partial 16S ribosomal RNA
Rfam family: Bacterial small subunit ribosomal RNA
Source: RNAcentral